RNAcentral lists this long non-coding RNA (668 nucleotides) under Hordeum vulgare. Its description in RNAcentral is "long non-coding RNA (HVUL_LNC012750)". Lineage: Eukaryota; Viridiplantae; Streptophyta; Magnoliopsida; Poales; Poaceae. The record is from RNAcentral.
UCUCAGAAUCAUACAGAUAAGUGAUUACAUACAAGAGGUGGGCAAUUUAUGUCGAAGAUAAACCUCAAUGAUUUGAUAACAGGUAUUAAUAUAAUGAAGAAAAAAAACCUUAAAAUUGAAUUGAAAGUCCUAUACACAUCACUAAAUAUUGACAAUAUAGUUUGUAAUCGGUGUAGUCCAAACUGUUGGGGAACCAAGUAUGAUUUUUUUUUUCUGUGAACACUCAAGAUCCAACUAUGGAGAUGCAUAUCAAAGAGAGAGAGAGAGAGAAUGAGUCUACGUAUCCUUAUAGACCGUUAAGCGAAAGCUUAUAUUACGUGGUUGAUGUAGUCGUACUCUUAACGAUCCAAUCCAAUCCAAUGCCAAACGGGCGGCACCUCCACGUUCAGCACACGUGUGGCUCGAUGACAUCCUUGUCUCCCUGAUCCAGCAAGAGAGGAUGGAGAAGUAGAUGAGAUCUCAACUAACAUGACAGCGUGUUGGAUAUGGUGGUGGUACAGUGCCAGCACGGCUUUGCCAAGCCCCUCUGGAACGACCAACGAGGAAGAACAUGGGAAGACAUGAUAGGGGCUGCCCAAGGAAGGGGAAAGGAAUUAGUGUGUUGCUGCCCUCUAUUUAUAGGAGCAAGGGGGAGGGGCGCAACCCCCUUUGCCCCUCCUCCAAGGAGG